Molecule: unclassified non-coding RNA, 215 nt
Filed under: Ascomycota sp.
Lineage: Eukaryota; Fungi; Ascomycota
Description: partial contains small subunit ribosomal RNA, internal transcribed spacer 1, and 5.8S ribosomal RNA
Rfam family: Eukaryotic small subunit ribosomal RNA (bases 1-47)
Source: RNAcentral
AAAGUCGUAACAAGGUCUCCGUUGGUGAACCAGCGGAGGGAUCAUUACAGAGUUGCAAAACUCCCAACCCUUUGUGAACGAACCUACCAGUUGCUUCGGUGGAGAGCUCUUCAGGGAGCAGCCCGCCGAAGGUCUACAAACUCUUGUUUUUUUUGGCAUCUCUGAGUAGCUUAUAAAAUAAGUUAAAACUUUCAACAACGGAUCUCUUGGUUCUG